ACUUUACUGCAGUGGCAGUAUCAUAGCCAAUGAGGUCCAACCGUGGCGUGAUUAUUGCUAAUUGU
This 65-nucleotide small nuclear RNA is filed under the name Xenopus tropicalis (tropical clawed frog). RNAcentral describes it as "Xenopus (Silurana) tropicalis (western clawed frog) U4 spliceosomal RNA". It matches the Rfam family "U4 spliceosomal RNA", at positions 1 to 65 of the family's 138-position model. From Rfam's summary of the family: U4 small nuclear RNA (U4 snRNA) is a component of the major U2-dependent spliceosome. The structure of U4 snRNA from yeast and human has been reported. U4 snRNA presents a k-turn RNA motif in the 5p-SL related to recognition of Snu13 protein. Lineage: Eukaryota; Metazoa; Chordata; Amphibia; Anura; Pipidae. The record is from Rfam by way of RNAcentral.